This 1434-nucleotide ribosomal RNA is filed under the name Salmonella enterica subsp. enterica serovar Bredeney. RNAcentral's name for it is "partial 23S ribosomal RNA". It matches the Rfam family "Bacterial large subunit ribosomal RNA", at positions 1398 to 2815 of the family's 2925-position model. Lineage: Bacteria; Pseudomonadati; Pseudomonadota; Gammaproteobacteria; Enterobacterales; Enterobacteriaceae. The record is from RNAcentral.
GAGGCCGAAAGGCGUAGUCGAUGGGAAACGGGUUAAUAUUCCCGUACUUGGUGUUACUGCGAAGGGGGGACGGAGAAGGCUAUGUUGGCCGGGCGACGGUUGUCCCGGUUUAAGCGUGUAGGUGUGUGUUCCAGGUAAAUCCGGUUCACUUUAACACUGAGGCGUGACGACGAGGCACUACGGUGCUGAAGCAACAAAUGCCCUGCUUCCAGGAAAAGCCUCUAAGCAUCAGGUAACAUCAAAUCGUACCCCAAACCGACACAGGUGGUCAGGUAGAGAAUACCAAGGCGCUUGAGAGAACUCGGGUGAAGGAACUAGGCAAAAUGGUGCCGUAACUUCGGGAGAAGGCACGCUGACACGUAGGUGAAGUGAUUUACUCAUGGAGCUGAAGUCAGUCGAAGAUACCAGCUGGCUGCAACUGUUUAUUAAAAACACAGCACUGUGCAAACACGAAAGUGGACGUAUACGGUGUGACGCCUGCCCGGUGCCGGAAGGUUAAUUGAUGGGGUCAGCGCAAGCGAAGCUCCUGAUCGAAGCCCCGGUAAACGGCGGCCGUAACUAUAACGGUCCUAAGGUAGCGAAAUUCCUUGUCGGGUAAGUUCCGACCUGCACGAAUGGCGUAAUGAUGGCCAGGCUGUCUCCACCCGAGACUCAGUGAAAUUGAACUCGCUGUGAAGAUGCAGUGUACCCGCGGCAAGACGGAAAGACCCCGUGAACCUUUACUAUAGCUUGACACUGAACAUUGAGCCUUGAUGUGUAGGAUAGGUGGGAGGCUUUGAAGUGUGGACGCCAGUCUGCAUGGAGCCGGCCUUGAAAUACCACCCUUUAAUGUUUGAUGUUCUAACGUGGACCCGUGAUCCGGGUUGCGGACAGUGUCUGGUGGGUAGUUUGACUGGGGCGGUCUCCUCCUAAAGAGUAACGGAGGAGCACGAAGGUUGGCUAAUCCUGGUCGGACAUCAGGAGGUUAGUGCAAUGGCAUAAGCCAGCUUGACUGCGAGCGUGACGGCGCGAGCAGGUGCGAAAGCAGGUCAUAGUGAUCCGGUGGUUCUGAAUGGAAGGGCCAUCGCUCAACGGAUAAAAGGUACUCCGGGGAUAACAGGCUGAUACCGCCCAAGAGUUCAUAUCGACGGCGGUGUUUGGCACCUCGAUGUCGGCUCAUCACAUCCUGGGGCUGAAGUAGGUCCCAAGGGUAUGGCUGUUCGCCAUUUAAAGUGGUACGCGAGCUGGGUUUAGAACGUCGUGAGACAGUUCGGUCCCUAUCUGCCGUGGGCGCUGGAGAACUGAGGGGGGCUGCUCCUAGUACGAGAGGACCGGAGUGGACGCAUCACUGGUGUUCGGGUUGUCAUGCCAAUGGCACUGCCCGGUAGCUAAAUGCGGAAGAGAUAAGUGCUGAAAGCAUCUAAGCACGAAACUUGCCCCGAGAUGAGUUCUCCC